This 492-nucleotide ribosomal RNA is filed under the name uncultured bacterium. Its description in RNAcentral is "partial 16S ribosomal RNA". It matches the Rfam family "Bacterial small subunit ribosomal RNA", at positions 29 to 507 of the family's 1533-position model. The record is from RNAcentral.
AGUGAACGCUGGCGGUAGGCCUAACACAUGCAAGUCGAACGGCAGCACAGUAAGAGCUUGCUCUUACGGGUGGCGGGUGGCGGACGGGUGAGGAAUACAUCGGAAUCUACUUUUUCGUGGGGGAUAACGUAGGGAAACUUACGCUAAUACCGCAUACGACCUACGGGUGAAAGCAGGGGAUCUUCGGACCUUGCGCGAUUGAAUGAGCCGAUGUCGGAUUAGCUAGUUGGCGGGGUAAAGGCCCACCAAGGCGACGAUCCGUAGCUGGUCUGAGAGGAUGCUCAGCCACACUGGAACUGGGCCACGGUCCGGCCUCCUACGGGAGGCCGCAGUGGGGAAUAUUGGACAAUGGGCGCAAGCCUGAUCCAGCCAUCCCGCGUGGGUGAAGAAGGCCUUCGGGUUGUAAAGCCCUUUUGUUGGGAAAGAAAAGCAGCAGGUUAAUACCCCGCUGUUCUGACGGUACCCAAAGAAUAAGCACCGGCUAACUUCGUG